GGAGUUGUAGCUCAGCUGGUUAGAGUGCCUGCCUGUCACGCAGGAUGUCGCGGGUUCGAGUCCCGUCAACUCCGCCA
This 77-nucleotide transfer RNA is filed under the name Leptospira sp. Its description in RNAcentral is "tRNA-Asp". It matches the Rfam family "tRNA". From Rfam's summary of the family: Transfer RNA (tRNA) molecules are approximately 80 nucleotides in length. RNAcentral also lists the same sequence under 4 other names. Lineage: Bacteria; Pseudomonadati; Spirochaetota; Leptospiria; Leptospirales; Leptospiraceae. The record is from RNAcentral.